AUUAACCCCAAACCUUCGGAAAAUCAGAGUUUAGAGUGAGUCUUCUUCUUCUCUUCCAACACCUGAGAGUAGAGACCAGAGUUUAGAGUAAGUCACGAUUAUGGAGAGAGGCAGAUAGCAGAGCUUCUUCUUCUUCUUCUUCUUCUCCUCUGCCGAGCUCGCCGUCGCGCCAUCCUCUUCAUAUUCGUCGUUGCAACGUCUUUGCCGGGAGCUGUCGCUGUGAGCCUGUCGCCAGAGCAUGUCGCCGUCGCAGCUUCUUUUAAAUAAGGAGUUAGCUUGGAAGCCUUUAAAAGAAGCACAUGAUGAUCACACUCUCCCUCAAUGUUGGCAUGGUAGAAGACCUUUCAGAAGCAUACAUAAAGUUAGAAAAUACUUCAAGCCUAUGGCACUUUCUUUUGCUGGCGGCGGCCGAAGUAAAGCUCAGUUUGAAAUCCCUCCUGAGGCACACCUCAUAAUAUCAAACAUGGGAAAUGUUUGCUUGGGAAUCUUAAAUGGAUCUGAAGAUCUAAACCUAAUUGGAGGUGAGGUAAUUGGUAAGGAGGUUUGAUGAGCCACAGAAAUACAAGCCAUUUGUGAGUAGGUGUGUGGCGAAGGGGAACCUUGAGAUUGGGAGUUUAAGAGAAGUUGAUGUUAAGUCACGGCUACCUGCCACUACCAGCACUGAGAGAUUGGAGAUUCUUGAUGACAAUCAGCAUAUUCUUAGUGUAAGGAUCAUUGGUGGUGAUCACAGACUCAGGGGUUCAUAUGGAGCACGCACCUGAUAAUGGAGGCAGCAAUGGCGGUUUCGACAGUGGCACAAGAGAAGUGCGACCAC
Molecule: non-coding RNA, 814 nt
Organism: Arachis ipaensis
Lineage: Eukaryota; Viridiplantae; Streptophyta; Magnoliopsida; Fabales; Fabaceae
Source: RefSeq, a predicted model, not a curated record